UACGGAGGGUGCAAGCGUUAUCCGGAUUCACUGGGUUUAAAGGGUGCGUAGGUGGGCAAGUAAGUCAGUGGUGAAAUCUCCGAGCUUAACUUGGAAACUGCCAUUGAUACUAUCGAUCUUGAAUACUGUGGAGGUCAGCGGAAUAUGUCAUGUAGCGGUGAAAUGCUUAGAUAUGACAUAGAACACCAAUUGCGAAGGCAGCUGGCUACACAAAUAUUGACACUGAGGCACGAAAGCGUGGGGAUCAAACAGG
Molecule: ribosomal RNA, 253 nt
Filed under: uncultured bacterium
Lineage: Bacteria
Description: partial 16S ribosomal RNA
Rfam family: Bacterial small subunit ribosomal RNA
Source: RNAcentral